RNAcentral lists this ribosomal RNA (1206 nucleotides) under Yersinia pestis MGJZ7. RNAcentral's name for it is "bacterial LSU rRNA". It matches the Rfam family "Bacterial large subunit ribosomal RNA", at positions 1353 to 2540 of the family's 2925-position model. The record is from RNAcentral. Lineage: Bacteria; Pseudomonadati; Pseudomonadota; Gammaproteobacteria; Enterobacterales; Yersiniaceae.
UCCUGUCCAACGUUAAUCGGGGCAGGGUGAGUCGACCCCUAAGGCGAGGCUGAAAAGCGUAGUCGAUGGGAAACAGGUUAAUAUUCCUGUACUUGGUGUUACUGCGAAGGGGGGACGGAGAAGGCUAGGCUGGCCGGGCGACGGUUGUCCCGGUUUAAGCGUGUAGGGGGAGUGACCAGGUAAAUCCGGUUGCUUAUCAACCCUGAGGCGUGAUGACGAUGCACCACGGUGCAGAAGCAGUUGAUGCCAUGCUUCCAGGAAAAGCCUCUAAGCAUCAGGUAACAUUAAAUCGUACCCCAAACCGACACAGGUGGUCAGGUAGAGAAUACUCAGGCGCUUGAGAGAACUCGGGUGAAGGAACUAGGCAAAAUGGUGCCGUAACUUCGGGAGAAGGCACGCUGGCGUUAGGUGAAAGGACUAGCUCCUGGAGCUGAAGCCAGUCGCAGAUACCAGCUGGCUGCAACUGUUUAAUAAAAACACAGCACUGUGCAAACACGAAAGUGGACGUAUACGGUGUGACGCCUGCCCGGUGCUGGAAGGUUAAUUGAUGGGGUCAGCCGCAAGGCGAAGCUCUUGAUCGAAGCCCCAGUAAACGGCGGCCGUAACUAUAACGGUCCUAAGGUAGCGAAAUUCCUUGUCGGGUAAGUUCCGACCUGCACGAAUGGCGUAAUGAUGGCCAGGCUGUCUCCACCCGAGACUCAGUGAAAUUGAACUCGCUGUGAAGAUGCAGUGUACCCGCGGCAAGACGGAAAGACCCCGUGAACCUUUACUAUAGCUUGACACUGAACAUUGAGCCUUGAUGUGUAGGAUAGGUGGGAGGCCUUGAAGUGUGGACGCCAGUCUGCAUGGAGCCAACCUUGAAAUACCACCCUUUAAUGUUUGAUGUUCUAACUCGGCCCCAUGAUCUGGGGUGAGGACAGUGUCUGGUGGGUAGUUUGACUGGGGCGGUCUCCUCCCAAAGAGUAACGGAGGAGCACGAAGGUUAGCUAAUCACGGUCGGACAUCGUGAGGUUAGUGCAAAGGCAUAAGCUAGCUUGACUGCGAGAGUGACGGCUCGAGCAGGUACGAAAGUAGGUCUUAGUGAUCCGGUGGUUCUGAAUGGAAGGGCCAUCGCUCAACGGAUAAAAGGUACUCCGGGGAUAACAGGCUGAUACCGCCCAAGAGUUCAUAUCGACGGCGGUGUUUGGCACCUCGAUGUCGGCUCAU